Molecule: non-coding RNA, 73 nt
Organism: Pangasius djambal
Lineage: Eukaryota; Metazoa; Chordata; Actinopteri; Siluriformes; Pangasiidae
Source: the annotation of a GenBank genome assembly
UAAUAACUAGCUCAGUUGGUAGAUCAUGAGACUCUUAAUCUCAGGGUCGUGAGUUUGAGCCCCAAGCUGGUUC